Molecule: long non-coding RNA, 436 nt
Organism: Onychostruthus taczanowskii (white-rumped snowfinch)
Lineage: Eukaryota; Metazoa; Chordata; Aves; Passeriformes; Passeridae
Exons: 3
Source: RefSeq, a predicted model, not a curated record
CUUUAUUCCACAAGUUGUGCUGAGGAGCUGGAUUUUAAACUGUUCCCAGUCUGGGGCAGAGGCUUUUCUUCAUAACUAGGGACAAGAGGAUAACUAGGAACCAGAGGAUUUUUCUUCUUGCUCUCCAAACCUUCAAGUUUCUAGGAAUCCCACAGUCAGAGAAGAAGAGGAAGUGAGAAGAUGAGAGGGAAAACAACAUGGUGGCACUGAGGCAGUGGAAACAAGGAGGGGGAAGAGGAGCUUCGAGUGUUGGAGCUGAGAAUCCUCUGCAGGCCGUGCUGCCCAGCUCUCUGUAACAAGAGAAGUGAAUGACUUUUGUGGGUGCCUGGUGUUUGGCCAGUGUUCAACCACAACAGAGUGAAAGACAUCCAAGACCCAAGGAACUCUAGACCCUGACAACACAGGCAUGCAGACCACUUAGAAGGAUUGAUCUUAU